RNAcentral lists this long non-coding RNA (3918 nucleotides) under Gallus gallus (chicken). RNAcentral describes it as "lncRNA (ENSGALG00010018320.1)". Lineage: Eukaryota; Metazoa; Chordata; Aves; Galliformes; Phasianidae. The record is from RNAcentral.
CACCCUACAUUUUUCAGCUAAUAUCCAUAGAUGAAUUAAGAAUCACUAUGCAGGUGCUGGAUGUACUUAUAAUUGCAGAUACACAACAAGCCCAGCAUCAGAAAUUCCUUCUGCAAAGUGUCUUUGCAGACAUUCCACAUGCACUGUGGUAUCAGAUAUACCAGAGCUGUUUCCAGGAGGGUGGUUAACCUGACAAAUGAAAAAUCAUCCUGUUUUGCAACAUCCUGCUUUGGUUACACAGAAAUUCUUCAGAAAAGACUUCAGAAAAUCCAGGAGCUGAACUCAGUCUCCUGGCUAUCAUUUCUGCCUAUCAUCACAGGAUUUAGCCUUCUGCCAAGAAUAGAAGUGAAUCACUUUUCUUAGGAAUGGUAUGCUGUUGACAAGGCAGUGACAGUUACAAAUGCUGUAGCAACCCACUUUCUCCUCGGGGAAAACAAGAAACUUCUAUUUAAAGAGUACACACUCCUGGAAUAAGAGCCUAAUGGAUUCUAUACCUUCUACGACUCAUCACAGAGUGGGAAUAUCUGCUUUCCAAAGAUCCUCCUCCAAAGAGAAAGGGAGAUCAUAGAAUCGUAGAAUCAUAGAAUCAGUCAGGUUGGAAAAGACCUUAAAGAUCAUCGAGUCCAACCAUGCCCUAACCAUACUAACCUAACUAACAACCCUCCACUAAAUCAUGUCCCUGAGCACCACAUCCAAAUGGUUUUCAAACACAUCCAGGGAUGGGGAUUCAACCACCUCCCUGGGGAGCCUAUUCCAGUGUUUAACAACCCUUUCUGUAAAGAAUUGUUUCCUAAUAUCCAACCUAAACUUACCCUGGUGCAACUUGAGGCCAUUCCCCCUUGUCCUGUCACCUGUUAGCAGUGAGAAGGGACCAACCCUGCUCUUGCUGUAAGCACCUCUCAGAUGUUGGAAGAGAUCAAUAAGGUCUCCCCUCAACCUCCUCUUCCCCAGACUAAACAGUCCCAGUUCUUUAGUCGCAGCUCAUAGGGCAUAUUCUCCAAGCACUUCACAAGCCUUGCUGCUUUUCUUUGGACCUGCUCCAGCACCUCCAUGUCCUUUCUGUACUGAGGUGCCCAAAACUGAACAAAGAACUUGAGGUGAGGCCUCACCAGUGCCAAGUACAGGGGCAGGAUGACUUCCCUAGUCCUGCUCACCACACCAUUCCUAAUACAAGCCAGGAUGCCAUUGGCCUUCUUGGCCACCCGGGCACACUGCUGGCUCAUAUUCUACUGACUGUCCAUCAGUACACCAAGGUCCCUUUCCAUCAGGCAGCUUUCCAGCCACACCUCCCCAAGCCUGUAGGGUUACCUGAGGUUCUUGUGACUAAAAUGUAGGACCUGACACCUACUCCUAUUGAAACUCAUGCCGUUAACCUCGGCCCAUUGAUCCAGUCUAUCCAGGUCCCUCUGUAGUGCCCUUCUCCCCUCUGGCAGAUCAACACUCCCUCCCAACUUGUUGUUGUCUGCAAACUUACUGAGGGUGCACUCAAUCCCCUCAUCAAGAUCAUUAAUAAAGAUGUUAAACAGAAGCAGCCUCAGUACCGAGCCCUGGGGGACACCGGUCGUGACCAACCACCAGCUGGAUUUAACUUCAUUGACAACUCUUUGGGCCUGGCCAUUCAGCCAGUGUUUCACCCAGUGGAGUGUAUGUCCAUCUUAACAGUGGGCAGCCAGCUUCUCCAUGAGAAUGUUGUGGGAGACAGCGUCAAAGGCCUUACUGAAGUCCAGGUAAGACUUCAAUAGUCAUCAACAGCCUCAUCCACUAAGCAGGCCACCUUGUAAUGGAGCGAAAUCAGGUUUGUCAGACAGGAUCUACCAUUCGUAAACCCAUGCUGACUGGGCCUGAUCCCCUGGUUGACCUUUAACUGGUCCAUGAUGGUUCCUGAGAAUAUCCGUUCCAAAACCUUCCCAGGCACUGAGGUGAGACUGAUAGGCCUGUAGCUACCAGGAUCAUCUUUCUGGCCUUUUUUGAAGGUCACAUUUGCCAGUCUCCAGUCAGCCAGGACAUCACCAGUUAGCCAGGACUGCUGAAGAAUGAUGGAGAGUUAUUUGGCAACGACAUCUGUCAACUCCCUCAGCACUCUAGGGUGCAAUCUAUCCGGCCCCAUGGACUUGUGAGUGUCCAGCUUUCAGAGCAGGUCCAAAACCAUCUCAUCAUGGAUCAUGCAGGGCUUAUUCUGUUACCCAUCUCUAUCUACCAGCACAGGGGUCUGUGUUCCCAGGGAGUAACAAGUCUUAGUAUUAAAGACUGAGGCAAAGAGGGCAUUAAGUACCUCAGCCUUAUCCUGAUCCUUGGUCACCAAGUUGCCCUCAGCAUCCAACAAGGAAUGAAGAUCAUCCCUAGCCCUCCUCUUGCUGCUGAUGUAUUUAUAAAAAUAUUUACUGCUUUCCCUUACCUUAGUGGCCAAGUUCAGUUCUAGCUGGGCUUCAGCUUUUCUAAUUUUCUCCCUGCACAAAUACUUUAAUCCAAAAACAACGUAACAGACUGGAAAGGAUCCAAAUGAGAACCACAGUGAUGACAAGAAGGCAGUAGAACCUACCCUGUGGGAAGACACUGAAUGAGUUACUUAAACACAGUAAAAGCUGAAUUAUUCAAUAGUCAAAUUUGUCUCAUGUCUGUUUGAAACUGUGGAAAAAGCAGAUGCAAAUCCAAAAAUCUGUCAGUUCCUCAGUUGUGAAGCUUACAGACAAAGGGAGUAAACAUUCAAUAUAUGCAUUCAUUAGACAUGGAAAAUAUCUAUUGCAUUUAUUUUUUGUUUAAUUUUAAAGGAUCAUAUGACUUUUUUUUAGUUUCCUUCUCCAUAGUUCUAUGCCAUGUUUCUUUGCUUUUCAACAUGUGAAUGACACUGACAGAAAACAGGGGAAAAUGAUUGCUUGAGAGUGAGAGUGCCUCAGUCUUCAAAGUGUUUAUCUUAUUUUUAUAUAAGAAAAAUUAAAUGUUUCUAAUUCUACUCUGUGUAAUUAUUCAAUAUAAGAGGAUGAUGAUAACUGGCAAGAAGAAAAAAGUAUGUAGUGAUAUAGUGACAGCUGAGAAGAUGCGUAGUAUUUAAGGUAAAGAUUUGAUUUCAAGGAAACUUGACCACAGCUUUCAAGGAACUAAUAGUCCACAUUCAUAUUUCAUUUACUUUUAAUUAAUAUACACACAAAUGUAUAUAGGAAAAUUCAAUUUGUAUUUCUCAUAUAUUCUAUACGUAUAUUCUAAUUUUUUAGGUGGAACAUACACAAUAUCAAGGCACUUUGUCUAGUUAAUUUUUUUAUCAGAAUUCUUUUCAAUAUAGCUAUCAAAGGUCGAUAUUAAAAACAUUUAAAAUGAUCUGGGAAUGUAUCCUUAAUUUUUAACAUAGUCACAUUUUUAAAUUGGGUGCUAUGAAAAGCCUUAAUAGGACUAAAGUGUGAUUUUAGAUUUGCAAUAUAUAUAUGAAUUUUCUGGCUUCCUAUUGAGCCUCCAAAAGUAAUAUUCUGAUCUUUCCUAUAGAGCAAUGACUAUGAAAUCUUGUCAGUGUCUUGAUCUACAGAAGUUUUUUUUAAAGGGUACAGAAGAUGCUUUUUAAAGGGUACAAGUUCCUUUGAGUAAAUAUCUUAUAGAAGGACAAUUCCACUUACUUUACAUUACAAAAAUAAAAAUUCCAGCAGUUUCUAGAAUGUCAGCAGUUAAUCGAUUAAAAAUAUGGUACAUUAGAAGUAUUCAUUCAUCUUUCUGUUUCAUUUGAGUAGGACUUACCUAUGAAGUUGUACUUAUUUGUCAUUCAAACCGCACACAGACACACACAGGAAAAAAAAAAAAAAAAAGGAUGGAAAUUCCAAAAUUCCAAGUAUAUUUUUUAAAAAAAGUUUAAUUUUUUACUCUAGGUGUUUAUCAGGAUUGUUUGUAAUUGUAAAUUAAGAAAUUUUAUUUAUUGAAAUUAUAUUUACGUCUUUA